UUCUUAUCAAGAGAGGUGGAGGGACUGGCCCUGUGAAACCUCAGCAACCAGCCAGCACGCGCUGGCCAGGUGCUAAUUCCAGCAAGUUGAGUCGGGCAGCCUGCCUGAUUCAACUUGGGAGAUAAGAA
This 128-nucleotide non-coding RNA is filed under the name Caldalkalibacillus thermarum. RNAcentral describes it as "SAM-I sequence". It matches the Rfam family "SAM riboswitch aptamer (S box leader)". From Rfam's summary of the family: The SAM riboswitch is found upstream of a number of genes which code for proteins involved in methionine or cysteine biosynthesis in Gram-positive bacteria. The SAM riboswitch acts at the level of transcription termination control. The predicted structure consists of a complex stem-loop region followed by a single stem loop terminator region. The record is from RNAcentral. RNAcentral also lists the same sequence under 1 other name. Lineage: Bacteria; Bacillati; Bacillota; Bacilli; Caryophanales; Bacillaceae.